This is a non-coding RNA of Xyrichtys novacula (pearly razorfish), 2833 nucleotides long. Lineage: Eukaryota; Metazoa; Chordata; Actinopteri; Labriformes; Labridae. The record is from the annotation of a GenBank genome assembly.
AGGAAAGAGAACUGGCAGCCGGUAAGGAGUCCCAGUACACCAAGGGGUUAAACUUAGAGGUGGGAAUGCUGCGUACUAGACUUGAAUGGACCACGUAUCAUAUCAUAUCGUAAUGUAUCAUAUUGUACCAUUUUGUAUCGUGUCGUGUCAUAUCGUAUUGUAAUGUAUCAUAUAGUAAGGUAUUGUAUCGUAAUGUAUCAUAUUGUAUUGUAUCGUAUUGUGUCAUAUUGUAUCGUAUCAAAAUGUAUCAUAUUGUAUCAUAUUGUAUCAUAUUGUAUCACAUAAUAUCAUAUCGUGUCAUAUCAUAUCCUAUCGUAUCAUAUCGUAUUGUAUCGUACAGUAUUGUAUUGAAUAGUAAUGUAUCGUAUCAUAAAUGUAUCAUAUUGUAUAGUAUUGUAUCGUAAUUUAUUAUAUUGUAUCUUGUCAUAUCAUAUCUUGUCAUAUCGUAUCGUGUCAUAUCGUAUCGUGUCAUAUCGUAUCGUGUCAUAUCGUAUCGUGUUAUAUUGUAUUAUAAUGUAUCAUAUUGUAUCGUAUCGUGUCAUAUUGUAUCGUAAUGUAUUAUAUUGUAUCGUAUCGUAUCAUAUUGUAUCGUAUCGUGUCAUAUUGUAUCGUAAUGUAUUAUAUUGUAUUGUAUCGUAUAGUAUCGUAAUGUAUUAUAUUGUAUCGUAUUGUAUCAUGUUACAACCCACCAUACCAUACUGUAUAGUAUCAGAGUUGGAAUACUAAGUGCAAUAUCUCAAAUGCUUAAGUACUGCUUAUUGUCUAUUUACCUUCUUAUUCAUAAUUUCUUUAUUUUCAAGGCAAUCAUUAAACAUUUCAUGUUUAUCAUACAACAAGGAUGAAAAUGUAAUUUAAAGAAAAUGCAUUUUAUAGAUUUAAUAACCUUACAACAUAAUAAGUUUAAAUUUCUGUAAAUAAGUUUUAGAGAAAUUUAUCAAAACUUUAAAAAUCAUAUUCAUGUAGUCAGUCUGCAUCAUUGUAUCACUGUUGAUCAAAACUCGAAUGUAAAGAUUUCACUUAUAGUUGGUUGUGGUGUGAUGAAUAAUACGAGCACACCCACCCUGUCCAUUCCUCAUGCUUUUUUUUUUUUUUUUACAGGUAAAGAGGUUUAGUCAGGUCAAGGUAUUUGCAAAGCUGCACAUGAGCAACACCACCUGAGGAGAGAAAUGACUGGUUUUAGGGCUGACUUGAUGAUCCAGGUGAUGAGAGCACACAUGGUUUUCAGUGUUACAGAGUCACGUCCUAAAUGGCUCCCAUGUACCUGUUCCCCACAUGCACAGUAAUACAGUGGUCUCUGAACUUGUUGUUAGGAUGUGUGACAUAGUUUGGCCCAUUCGUCACUGGUACAAAGCAGACCUUAGAAUAAGGACACAUACCACACAUGAAAGUGAGAAAAUUCCUGGGUAAUUACAUCUGAAGUGUUUUUAGUUCCACCAUUAAUUGGUUACAGAUGAGCAAAGGUAUACACCAGUAAAAUAUGUCCGGACCAUCUCAAAAGAAUAUCAGCAGGAGAAGUAAGGUAUAUAGUUCCUCUUUGCUUUUGAAAUUUCUUGGAAGCCAACGUCAAAUCAGUUGCCAACAAGCCCUGGCGUACUGCCGCCUGUUAACAGACAGGUCUACAGCAGAGCAGUGCUCAGUGGAAUGCCAAACAUUUGUUUCAUAAGCUGAAAAAAGCCUGCUGAUUUUCCUCCCUCUCCUCCGCACAGAGCUCCUAGGAAGGGGGUCUCUCAGCCACCUGUGCAUAUUCAGCAUAGCAGAGGAGCGCGUCGGGCACAGGGAGUAAUGUACUGAAGGAAUGUCGUCCCACAGAGCAGCCACUCAAUAAAGGGGGGGUGUGAGGAAUUUUCUUUAGCGCACACAGGAUAUUACUGUACAUGUGUUUAACAUAAACUGCUGUCAAAGGCUGUACUGGCCAACCGCAACUGCUUGUCAAAUCCUAAUCCAGAGCAAUUUUCCACUGUUUUUAGAUGAUUUGGACAAAUGGAGUAGACUUGCUUCAAGCUCUUAAAGCGGUCUGCACUUGCUCCAGAAGCUCUCCGGAGAUCACUGACCUGAAACCAUCAGCUAAACAUAAACCGAAUUGAGCCUUUGCUGCUUGAGUGGGAGCAUUAAAUAUGUUUGAAUACUUAAUUUGUGCACAUCUCUCUGAGUAGCAUUGUGGUACAGUUAAAGGGGUUUAUCUUUUCUUUGCAAAGUAAGCAAAAAUUUGUUAUACACUUUUUGAUUCGUCUGAUCAAAAAGCAACGUCUGGUCUUGAAACUUGAAGUAUUCAUUAGGGUUAAUGUUAAAAUGCAGUUAGAAAUAUUAACAGCCUUUUAAAAAAAACAGAGCACACCCUUGUUUGUGUGUGUUUGUGUUGCUGGGGGUCAAUUUGUAUAUGUUGCGUUAAUUUCUAUUACACUGAGGUUAGGGGUUACACAUACAUUUGCAUAAAUACAUGAUUUGAGCCCAAAAACCUCCUUGUGAAAAUUGUGAUAACUCUUAUUUUUUCUUCCCAGUGGUUUUGUUUCACACAGUCUUUGGUUCUAUCAGUUUGAUUAAGUCUGUAUUUGGGACUAAAAUAAGAGAGGAUAGUAUGUAAAGUAUUUUCAAUCACUUGGAGUGUACAGAGUAUGUCUGGGUCAGUCGCUGAGUUGUUUCUCUGCAUGUAUGCUCCCCUCACUCUCAAACACCAACCAACAUUUUCUCUUUUCUUACCUAGAUUGUGAGUCGCCAAAGGGAAUCCAGCUUUCUGUGUGUGUGCAGGAACAACAUAUGGUAUGUAAGUGUGUUGGAGUAAGGUGGGGGGGUCUAUUUAGGAAUGAGACUGCCGCAGAUCACAUGACAAGUCUGG